RNAcentral lists this ribosomal RNA (506 nucleotides) under uncultured bacterium. RNAcentral describes it as "partial 16S ribosomal RNA". It matches the Rfam family "Bacterial small subunit ribosomal RNA", at positions 29 to 523 of the family's 1533-position model. The record is from RNAcentral.
AGUGAACGCUGGCGGUAGGCCUAACACAUGCGAGUCGAACGGCAGCACAGGAGAGCUUGCUCUCUGGGUGGCGAGUGGCGGACGGGUGAGGAAUACAUCGGAAUCUACUUUUUCGUGGGGGAUAACGUAGGGAAACUUACGCUAAUACCGCAUACGACCUACGGGUGAAAGCAGGGGAUCUUCGGACCUUGCGCGAUUGAAUGAGCCGAUGUCGGAUUAGCUAGUUGGCGGGGUAAAGGCCCACCAAGGCGACGAUCCGUAGCUGGUCUGAGAGGAUGAGCAGCCACACUGGAACUGAGACACGGUCCAGACUCCUACGGGAGGCAGCAGUGGGGAAUGUUGGACAAUGGGCGCAAGCCUGAUCCAGCCAUACCGCGUGGGUGAAGAAGGCCUUCGGGUUGUAAAGCCCUUUUGUUGGGAAAGAAAUCCAGCUGGUUAAUACCCGGUUGGGAUGACGGUACCCAAAGAAUAAGCACCGGCUAACUUCGUGCCAGCCGCCGCAGUAA